Molecule: unclassified non-coding RNA, 405 nt
Filed under: soil metagenome
Description: partial contains 5.8S ribosomal RNA, internal transcribed spacer 2, and large subunit ribosomal RNA
Rfam family: 5.8S ribosomal RNA (bases 1-121)
Source: RNAcentral
GAUGAAGAACGUAGCGAAAUGCGAUAAGUAAUGUGAAUUGCAGAAUUCAGUGAGUCAUCGAAUCUUUGAACGCACCUUGCGCCCUUUGGACAUUCCGAAGGGCAUGCCUGUUUGAGUAUCAUGAACACCUCAACUCUCACGGCUUGUCCGUGAUGAGCUUGGACUUUGGGGGUCUUGCCGGCCUGUGGUCGGCUCCUCUCAAAUGGAUCAGCUUGCCAGUGUUUGGUGGCAUCACAGGUGUGAUAACUAUCUGCGCUUGUGGUUUUCCAUCAGAUAACCUUCAGUGAUAUGGAGGUUCGCUGGAGCUCACAAAUGUCUCUCCUUAGUGAGGACAGCUCUUUGAACGUUUGAUCUCAAAUCAGGUAGGACUACCCGCUGAACUUAAGCAUAUCAAUAAGCGGAGGA